Long non-coding RNA from Salvia miltiorrhiza (redroot sage), 1040 nucleotides. RefSeq lists it as uncharacterized. Lineage: Eukaryota; Viridiplantae; Streptophyta; Magnoliopsida; Lamiales; Lamiaceae. The transcript has 3 exons. The record is from RefSeq and is a predicted model, not a curated record.
AAAGUGAAAAUGUUGGGAUAACACUUUGAUUCAAGUGGGAUUAAAUUCUUGAGCAAGUCAUUAUCCUAAUUCUACAAAAAAAACUCACGCACACCCUCCCUUCUCCUCCCCAUUCUCGGCCUCCCCUCUCUCUCUCUAUACUCUCUUUUCCUCCAUUGAUGUCCAUUGAAGAAAGCUUAGAGAAGCUUCAUCAAACACUACUAUGAGAUAAUCCACCAUCCAAUCCAAUCAAAUACCAUCAUAUCUCAUCAAAUUCAAGAAGCUAGAGCUAAGAUCAAAGUUGGAGCAAAGUCUUGAUCACCUUUUGAAUCCAUGAACACGAGCAGAGCAAGGAAGUAAGUAACUCCACUUUGACGAGAGAUUUUGAGUAAGGUCUUCAGGAUAAGCGGAGGGGGAGUAUGGUGCGGUGCUGGUGGAGAAUGUUUCGGGUUGACGUUUUCUUUCUCUAUCAUAUGUCUGUUUUGUCGAUAGAGUUUUGAUAUGAAGUUAUGUUAAAUAGAGUUUGAUGUUUAAGAUACUUAGUUUCCUUUGAAAAUCAAGCAUUUUACUCACGAUUAUGUGUCUUCAUACAUAUAGUCGGUUCACCUUUUGUUGUCACACUCUGAAUAUUAUGAUUCUACAUAAAAAUUGAGUUACCCUUGUUUUGCUUUUCAUGUUGAGAUUCCCGAUAUUUAUCGAGUUAUGACGAUGUUGAUGGAUAUACCCUUUUGAUGAAUUAUGAUAAUCUUUCCUUAUCAUGUUUCUUCGUGAGCUUUCGCUGUUGAUCUAUGUAUUCUUUCUAUCUUUCCCCUUUCUUUUAUUAAUCGUAUCGAUACUCGAUCCCCGCUAUUACUAGUGUCGGAAUCGGGCUGCGACAAAUUUCUUGUGCAGAGUAUACAGAUUGAGACUUGUGACACCUCAGUUUGUCGUUGGAGAACAAAGUGGUUCCUCACUCCCUGUGGGAUUCGACUCUACACUUGCCACUAAGACUGAGUUCUUGUUGUGGGACGUAGGAGCGUUUAUCGUCUGUACUGGGCAUACACAAGUAUUUUGCCCGCACC